This 364-nucleotide unclassified non-coding RNA is filed under the name Dracocephalum calophyllum. RNAcentral's name for it is "partial external transcribed spacer". Lineage: Eukaryota; Viridiplantae; Streptophyta; Magnoliopsida; Lamiales; Lamiaceae. The record is from RNAcentral.
UGGGGCACGGCAGGAGAUCGAACCGACGGUCGUUCGCACGAAGCGUAGAACGCUUUUUUUGUGGUGCUCCGAGGUCGAGGACCCCGUACCCACAUGAUAUUCCGCACUCGAGAGACCGAGCGAACCGUCGUGGUUCGUCGAACMGAAUGCCGYUUCAMGGGCAAACGGGGCGCGAGACACGACGGGCGCUGUUUAGCCCACCCMGCACCGCCAACCCUWGAAGGGCAGCAGCACGAGACGGGAAUGRUAUGAUGGUAGCCGAUAGAAUGCCCUCGUGAUAGGUAUGCARUACAGGAAAACCAACGUCGGACGAGCACUUGCUCGCGCCAACAACUGAAGAGACGCGGACGAGAUGCCGUCGCUG